Crocodylus porosus (Australian saltwater crocodile) is the source of this 191-nucleotide unclassified non-coding RNA. NCBI's taxonomy places the organism in Eukaryota, Metazoa, Chordata, Crocodylia, Crocodylidae. The record is from Ensembl.
UGGGCUCCACGCCUCACCCCCUAGAUCUGCAUCGGAAUGCAGAAAAGAUCUUUAAAAAAGUUUUGAAUUCCUCAAUGAUUUUUCUUCUAGAAAGGCGGCUUAGGAUAAUUAUUUCAGCUUUAUUGAGGGCAGAUUAGUUGAAGUCUGGAUGCUGCGUUUCAAUACUCGUUGUACAUGGCUUUACAAUGUCG